This 551-nucleotide ribosomal RNA is filed under the name uncultured bacterium. RNAcentral describes it as "partial 16S ribosomal RNA". It matches the Rfam family "Bacterial small subunit ribosomal RNA", at positions 355 to 923 of the family's 1533-position model. The record is from RNAcentral.
UAGGGAAUCUUGGACAAUGGGCGAAAGCCUGAUCCAGCCAUGCCGCGUGAGUGAUGAAGGCCUUAGGGUUGUAAAGCUCUUUCGCCAGGGAAGAUAAUGACGGUACCUGGAUAAGAAGCCCCGGCAAACUUCGUGCCAGCAGCCGCGGUAAUACGAAGGGGGCUAGCGUUGUUCGGAAUUACUGGGCGUAAAGCGCACGUAGGCGGCUUUCCAAGUUGGAGGUGAAAUCCCCGGGCUUAACUCGGGAACUGCCUCCAAAAACUGGACGGCUCGAGUCCGAGAGAGGUGAGUGGAAUUUCCAGUGUAGAGGUGAAAUUCGUAGAUAUUGGAAAGAACACCAGUGGCGAAGGCGGCUCACUGGCUCGGUACUGACGCUGAGGUGCGACAGCGUGGGGAGCAAACAGGAUUAGAUACCCUGGUAGUCCACGCCGUAAACGAUGGGUGCUAGUUGUCAGGCAGCUUGCUGUUUGGUGACGCAGCUAACGCAUUAAGCACCCCGCCUGGGGAGUACGGUCGCAAGAUUAAAACUCAAAGGAAUUGACGGGGUCAUA